GAUGAACGCUGGCGGCGUGCCUAAUACAUGCAAGUCGAGCGAACGGACGAGAAGCUUGCUUCUCUGAUGUUAGCGGCAGACGGGUGAGUAACACGUGGAUAACCUACCUAUCAUACUGGGAAAACUUCGGGAAACCGGAUCUAAUACCGUAUAAUAUUUUGAACCGCAUGGUUCAAUAGUGAAAUACGGUCUUGCUGUCACUUAUAGAUGGAUCCGCGCUGCAUUAGCUAGUUGGUAAGGUAACGGCUUACCAAGGCAACGAUGCAUAGCCGACCUGAGAGGGUGGUCGGCCACCCUGGAACUGAGACACGGUCCAGACUCCUACGGGAGGCAGCAGUAGGGAAUCGUCCGCAAUGGGCGAAAGCCUGACGGAGCAACGCCGCGUGAGUGAUGAAGGUCUUCGGAUCGUAAAACUCUGUUAUUAGGGAAGAACAUAUGUGUAAGUAACUGUGCACAUCUUGACGGUACCUAAUCAGAAAGCCACGGCUAACUACGUG
This 497-nucleotide ribosomal RNA is filed under the name uncultured bacterium. RNAcentral's name for it is "partial 16S ribosomal RNA". It matches the Rfam family "Bacterial small subunit ribosomal RNA", at positions 28 to 507 of the family's 1533-position model. The record is from RNAcentral.